UUUUCAAGGGAAAAGCUGCACUCUCAGUUCAACCUGUCCCACCAACUUUCACUAAGUUGGGUUCAGGGAAUGUUAAAGUUGAACGCCGUGGUAUUAUGAUGUUGACUUUCAUGCCUGCUAUGGGUGAGCGCAAGUAUGACUAUGAAAAGCGGCAGCAUUUUGCUUUGUCAGCAACAGAGGUUGGUUCUUUGAUUAGCUUGGGUCCCAAAGAUUCUUCUGAAUUCUUCCAUGAUCCUUCAAUGUUGUCAAGUAAUGCUGGACAAGUGAGAAAGAGCUUAUCAAUUAAGCCACAGGCAGAUGGUGGUGGUUAUUUUAUGUCAUUAACUGUUGUUAACAAUAUUUUAAGAACCAAUGACCGAUUCAAUGUUCCUCUCACAGCUGGUGAAUUUGCAGUUUUGAAGACAGCUUGCAGUUUUGCAUUGCCCCAUAUCAUGGGUUGGGAUCGGUUAACAGCUAAGCUGCCCAAAGAGAGUGUGGGAAGUCCAUCGAAAGCAAAUCGGCAAGAGCCUGAUAUAGAGUGGGCAAAGUGAAGCCAUACAUAUCUUUCUGCAGAAUGUUGGGUGCACUGCUUGAUGUUACUAUCUCUUGCUUUGUAGAUUUAGAGCAUCGACUCUUGGUUUUGUUAAACAAAGCAUGCAUCCUGUUUUUCUUCCUCCGUAAUCAUUUUAUGCAAUUAGC
Molecule: unclassified non-coding RNA, 678 nt
Filed under: Hevea brasiliensis (rubber tree)
Lineage: Eukaryota; Viridiplantae; Streptophyta; Magnoliopsida; Malpighiales; Euphorbiaceae
Source: RNAcentral